UUCCGUUAGGUGAACCUGCGGAAGGAUCAUUC
Molecule: ribosomal RNA, 32 nt
Filed under: Gracilaria babae
Lineage: Eukaryota; Rhodophyta; Florideophyceae; Gracilariales; Gracilariaceae
Description: partial 18S ribosomal RNA
Source: RNAcentral